GAGGGUGUAGCUCAAGUGGUAGAGCGUGUGCUUAGCAUGCACAAGGUCCUGGGUUCCAUCCCCAGUACCUCCU
Molecule: transfer RNA, 73 nt
Filed under: Camelus bactrianus (Bactrian camel)
Lineage: Eukaryota; Metazoa; Chordata; Mammalia; Artiodactyla; Camelidae
Also listed under: 2 other names
Rfam family: tRNA
About the family: Transfer RNA (tRNA) molecules are approximately 80 nucleotides in length.
Source: Rfam by way of RNAcentral